AUGCAACUGACGAGUCCCAAAUAGGACGAAACGUGCGUCCUGGAU
RNAcentral lists this non-coding RNA (45 nucleotides) under Schistosoma curassoni. Lineage: Eukaryota; Metazoa; Platyhelminthes; Trematoda; Strigeidida; Schistosomatidae. The record is from RNAcentral.